GUCCCCAUCGUCUAGCCUGGUCUAGGACACAGGGCUUUCAAUCCUGCAACGCGGGUUCAAAUCCCGCUGGGGACA
RNAcentral lists this transfer RNA (75 nucleotides) under Deltaproteobacteria bacterium. RNAcentral's name for it is "tRNA-Glu". It matches the Rfam family "tRNA". From Rfam's summary of the family: Transfer RNA (tRNA) molecules are approximately 80 nucleotides in length. Their secondary structure includes four short double-helical elements and three loops (D, anti-codon, and T loops). Lineage: Bacteria; Pseudomonadati; Myxococcota; Myxococcia. The record is from RNAcentral.